RNAcentral lists this long non-coding RNA (305 nucleotides) under Callithrix jacchus (white-tufted-ear marmoset). Its description in RNAcentral is "lncRNA (ENSCJAG00000081712.1)". The record is from RNAcentral. Lineage: Eukaryota; Metazoa; Chordata; Mammalia; Primates; Cebidae.
AACCUUAGGUAAAAAACUGGAAAAGGAGAAGCAGGAAAAGGCAAAAAAACUGACCACAGUCCUUCCCUGACUCAGCUUUCACCCUGUCGCAGGCCCCAGCUGGAGAAGAUAGAACUUUAAAUGAAGGCUGAAGUUGUGGUGCAAUCAUGGCUCACUGCAGCCUUGAGGUCCUGGGCUCAGGACAUUCUCAUGCCGCAGCCUCUUGAGUAGCUGGGAAUGCAGGUCUGGUAAGUAAAGGAAAAACUUAGCAAGAGAGAGAAGAAAUAGGAGAAGAGGUUAGCAAGAGAGAAGAAGAAAAGGUGGAG